AAGGGUGCAGCCAUAGCUUCCCUCCCUGUGGAGUGUGGACGAGUUGAUUGAGAACGCUGAUGGAUUUGCUGGAGUAUUUCCUGAACACAAAUAUGAAAUUGUAAAGAGGCUGCAAGAGAGGAAGCACAUCUGUGGAAUGACUGGAGAUGGUGUCAAUGACG
Non-coding RNA from Malus domestica (apple), 161 nucleotides. The record is from RefSeq and is a predicted model, not a curated record. Lineage: Eukaryota; Viridiplantae; Streptophyta; Magnoliopsida; Rosales; Rosaceae.